This 457-nucleotide long non-coding RNA is filed under the name Fukomys damarensis (Damara mole-rat). RNAcentral describes it as "lncRNA (ENSFDAG00000023631.1)". Lineage: Eukaryota; Metazoa; Chordata; Mammalia; Rodentia; Bathyergidae. The record is from RNAcentral.
UUACCAAUACUCAGAAUACCUCUCUUUUCCUGCAGAGAUCUUCAUUUUUGAGAAGAUAAGAAACCGCCAGCAUACAGCAAUUUGAGGAACCCAAUCAAUUCAACUCAGUAUGGAAGUGAAAUCAUGAACAAGAAUUUAUUAAACAUCUACUAUGAGUUUGGCACCUGGAUGGGGUGGGGUAGGAUAUGAAUAAACAGGAGGUAGUUUUCAUCCUGUACACCCUAUAAUUGGGAAGACAAGGCAUGGGCCAGUCCAAUAGUAAAGAAUAUGAGAUCAACUGGAAAAUUGGUCCUAUGGAUUACAAAUGAAAUUAAUAUGAUCUGAUGUCAUCAGGAAAGGCUUCAAGGAAAAGCCUGACAAGGUCGGAAGGGACUGAAGGUUCUAGGGAACUGGCCUGCCUGGUUGCUCAGUGUCAGAUGAGGUUGGAGGUGCUGGAUCUUGCCCCACCCACUCCAAG